CGCUGGCGGCGUGCUCAACUCAAUGCAAGUCGAACGAACCUUCGGGUUAGUGGCGGACGGGUGAGUAACGCGUGAGAAUCUGCCCUCAGGAGGGGGAUAACAGCUGGAAACGGCUGCUAAUACCCCAUAUGCCGCGAGGUGAAAUGAAUUUCGCCUGAGGAUGAGCUCGCGUCUGAUUAGCUAGUUGGUGUGGGUAAUGGCUCACCAAGGCAUCGAUCAGUAGCUGGUCUGAGAGGAUGAUCAGCCACACUGAGACUGAGACACGGCCCAGACUCCUACGGGAGGCAGCAGUGGGGAAUUUUCCGCAAUGGGCGAAAGCCUGACGGAGCAACGCCGCGUGAGGGAUGAAGGCCUCUGGGCUGUAAACCUCUUUUAUCAAGGAAGAAGAUCUGACGGUACUUGAUGAAUAAGCCACGGCUAAUUCCGUGC
RNAcentral lists this ribosomal RNA (429 nucleotides) under uncultured bacterium. Its description in RNAcentral is "bacterial SSU rRNA". It matches the Rfam family "Bacterial small subunit ribosomal RNA", at positions 34 to 508 of the family's 1533-position model. The record is from RNAcentral.